GACGAAGGUGGCGAGCGUUGUUCGGAAUCACUGGGCAUAAAGCGCACGUAGGCGGUGCCGGAAGUCAGAUGUGAAAUCCCUCGGCCUAACCGAGGAACUGCGUCUGAUACUGCGGUGCUUGAGGAUCAGAGGGGUGCAUGGAAUUUCCGGUGGAGCGGUGAAAUGCGUUGAUAUCGGAAGGAACUCCGGCGGCGAAAGCGAUGCACUGGCUGAUUUCUGACGCUGAGGUGCGAAAGCCAGGGGAGCAAACGGG
RNAcentral lists this ribosomal RNA (253 nucleotides) under uncultured bacterium. RNAcentral describes it as "partial 16S ribosomal RNA". It matches the Rfam family "Bacterial small subunit ribosomal RNA", at positions 524 to 776 of the family's 1533-position model. The record is from RNAcentral.